GACGAACGCUGGCGGCGUGCCUAAUACAUGCAAGUCGAACGCUUCUUUUUCCACCGGAGCUUGCUCCACCGGAAAAAGAAGAGUGGCGAACGGGUGAGUAACACGUGGGUAACCUGCCCAUCAGAAGGGGAUAACACUUGGAAACAGGUGCUAAUACCGUAUAACAAUCAAAACCGCAUGGUUUUGAUUUGAAAGGCGCUUUCGGGUGUCGCUGAUGGAUGGACCCGCGGUGCAUUAGCUAGUUGGUGAGGUAACGGCUCACCAAGGCCACGAUGCAUAGCCGACCUGAGAGGGUGAUCGGCCACAUUGGGACUGAGACACGGCCCAAACUCCUACGGGAGGCAGCAGUAGGGAAUCUUCGGCAAUGGACGAAAGUCUGACCGAGCAACGCCGCGUGAGUGAAGAAGGUUUUCGGAUCGUAAAACUCUGUUGUUAGAGAAGAACAAGGAUGAGAGUAACUGUUCAUCCCUUGACGGUAUCUAACCAGAAAGCCACGGCUAACUACGUGCCAGCAGCCGCGGUAAUACGUAGGUGGCAAGCGUUGUCCGGAUUUAUUGGGCGUAAAGCGAGCGCAGGCGGUUUCUUAAGUCUGAUGUGAAAGCCCCCGGCUCAACCGGGGAGGGUCAUUGGAAACUGGGAGACUUGAGUGCAGAAGAGGAGAGUGGAAUUCCAUGUGUAGCGGUGAAAUGCGUAGAUAUAUGGAGGAACACCAGUGG
Molecule: ribosomal RNA, 716 nt
Filed under: uncultured Bacilli bacterium
Lineage: Bacteria; Bacillati; Bacillota; Bacilli
Description: bacterial SSU rRNA
Rfam family: Bacterial small subunit ribosomal RNA
Source: RNAcentral